This 253-nucleotide ribosomal RNA is filed under the name uncultured bacterium. RNAcentral's name for it is "partial 16S ribosomal RNA". It matches the Rfam family "Bacterial small subunit ribosomal RNA", at positions 524 to 776 of the family's 1533-position model. The record is from RNAcentral.
UACGUAGGGUCCGAGCGUUGUCCGGAAUUAUUGGGCGUAAAGGGCUCGUAGGCGGUUUGUCGCGUCGGGAGUGAAAACCUACAGCUUAACUGUGGGCUUGCUUUCGAUACGGGCAGACUUGAGGCAUGCAGGGGAGAACGGAAUUCCUGGUGUAGCGGUGAAGUGCGCAGAUAUCAGGAGGAACACCGGUGGCGAAGGCGGUUCUCUGGGCAUGUUCUGACGCUGAGGAGCGAAAGUGUGGGGAGCGAACAGG